RNAcentral lists this unclassified non-coding RNA (301 nucleotides) under uncultured fungus. Its description in RNAcentral is "sequence contains ITS1". The stretch from base 1 to 97 matches the Rfam family "5.8S ribosomal RNA", at positions 50 to 154 of the family's 154-position model. Lineage: Eukaryota; Fungi. The record is from RNAcentral.
AAAGUGCGAUAAUUAGUGCGAUUUGCAUGAAUCUGAGAGUCAUCAAGUAUUUGAACGCAACUUGCGCUCCAUUUGGAGCAUGUCUGUUUGAGUGGUAUAAAUUGAUAAUACGAUUGUGCUUUGUGCACAUUUGUGAAUUGCUAGUCCAUUGCGUGUCUAGUUAAAUGGAGAUUUUGUUUCAGUGAGGGGAUAUUUGAUAUAUUCUUAAAGUUAGAGACGUCAAGUCUUGUUUAAGAAUGCAUCAAACCCUCCACACACCAACAACACCCUCAAAUCAGUCAAGACUACCCGCUGAACUUAA